UACGUAGGGGGCAAGCGCUGUCCGGAAUCAUUGGGCGUAAAGGGUGCGUAGGCGGCGCGGUAAGUCGGGUGUGAAAUCUCGGAGCUUAACUCCGAAACUGCAUUCGAUACUGCCGUGCUUGAGGACUGGAGUGGAGACUGGAAUUUACGGUGUAGCGGUGAAAUGCGUAGAUAUCGUAAGGAAGACCAGUGGCGAAGGCGGGUCUCUGGACAGUUCCUGACGCUGAGGCACGAAGGUCAGGGGAGCAAACGGG
RNAcentral lists this ribosomal RNA (253 nucleotides) under uncultured bacterium. Its description in RNAcentral is "partial 16S ribosomal RNA". It matches the Rfam family "Bacterial small subunit ribosomal RNA", at positions 524 to 776 of the family's 1533-position model. The record is from RNAcentral.